CCUACGGGAGGCAGCAGUGAGGAAUAUUGGUCAAUGGGCGCGAGCCGGAACCAGCCAAGUAGCGUGAAGGAUGACUGCCCUACGGGUUGUAAACUUCUUUUAUAAAGGAAUAAAGUGAGGCACGUGUGCCUUUUUGCAUGUACCUUAUGAAUAAGGAUCGGCUAACUCCGUGCCAGCAGCCGCGGUAAUACGGAGGAUCCGAGCGUUAUCCGGAUUUAUUGGGUUUAAAGGGUGCGUAGGUGGGUUGUUAAGUCAGUUGUGAAAGUUUGCGGCUCAACCGUAAAAUUGCAGUUGAUACUGGCAGUCUUGAGUACGGUUGAGGUAGGCGGAAUUCGUGGUGUAGCGGUGAAAUGCUUAGAUAUCACGAAGAACUCCGAUUGCGAAGGCAGCUUACUAAACUGCAACUGACGUUGAUGCUCGAAAGUGUGGGUAUCAAACAGGAUUAGAUACCCCUGUAGUC
Molecule: ribosomal RNA, 460 nt
Filed under: uncultured bacterium
Lineage: Bacteria
Description: partial 16S ribosomal RNA
Rfam family: Bacterial small subunit ribosomal RNA
Source: RNAcentral